Molecule: ribosomal RNA, 253 nt
Filed under: uncultured bacterium
Lineage: Bacteria
Description: partial 16S ribosomal RNA
Rfam family: Bacterial small subunit ribosomal RNA
Source: RNAcentral
UACAGAGACUGCAAGCGUUAUUCGGAUUCACUGGGCGUAAAGGGUGCGCAGGCGGCCGUGUGUGUGAGGCGUGAAAGCCCGGGGCUUAACCCCGGAAUUGCACCUCAAACUACACGGCUAGAGCAUUGGAGAGGGUAGCAGAAUUCCAGGUGUAGCGGUGAAAUGCGUAGAGAUCUGGAGGAAUACCGGUGGCGAAGGCGGCCCCCUGGACAAAGACUGACGCUCAGGUGCGAAAGCGUGGGGAGCAAACAGG